Molecule: ribosomal RNA, 301 nt
Filed under: uncultured bacterium
Lineage: Bacteria
Description: partial 16S ribosomal RNA
Rfam family: Bacterial small subunit ribosomal RNA
Source: RNAcentral
CAGUCGCCGCGGUAAUGCGGAGGGGGCUAGCGUUGUUCGGAAUUACUGGGCGUAAAGCGCACGUAGGCGGCUUGGUAAGUUAGAGGUGAAAGCCCGGGGCUCAACCUCGGAAUUGCCCUCAAAACUGAUGACCUAGAGUACGGGAGAGGUGUGUGGAACUCCGAGUGUAGAGGUGAAAUUCGUAGAUAUUCGGAAGAACACCAGUGGCGAAGGCGACACACUGGCCCGUUACUGACGCUGAGGCGCGAAAGCGUGGGGAGCAAACAGGAUUAGAGACCCCUGUAGUCCCUGUCUCUUAUAA